UAAGCCUGUGAAGGUGGCCUGUGAGGGUUGCUGGAGGUAUCAGAAGUGCGAAUGCUGACAUAAGUAACGAUAAAGCGGGUGAAAAGCCCGCUCGCCGGAAGACCAAGGGUUCCUGUCCAACGUUAAUCGGGGCAGGGUGAGUCGACCCCUAAGGCGAGGCCGAAAGGCGUAGUCGAUGGGAAACGGGUUAAUAUUCCCGUACUUGGUGUUACUGCGAAGGGGGGACGGAGAAGGCUAUGUUGGCCGGGCGACGGUUGUCCCGGUUUAAGCGUGUAGGUGUGUGUUCCAGGUAAAUCCGGUUCACUUUAACACUGAGGCGUGAUGAC
This 326-nucleotide ribosomal RNA is filed under the name Salmonella enterica subsp. enterica serovar Poona. Its description in RNAcentral is "partial 23S ribosomal RNA". It matches the Rfam family "Bacterial large subunit ribosomal RNA", at positions 1243 to 1570 of the family's 2925-position model. Lineage: Bacteria; Pseudomonadati; Pseudomonadota; Gammaproteobacteria; Enterobacterales; Enterobacteriaceae. The record is from RNAcentral.